RNAcentral lists this non-coding RNA (908 nucleotides) under Pyroteuthis margaritifera. RNAcentral's name for it is "12S ribosomal RNA". The stretch from base 487 to 901 matches the Rfam family "Microsporidia small subunit ribosomal RNA", at positions 752 to 1303 of the family's 1311-position model. Lineage: Eukaryota; Metazoa; Mollusca; Cephalopoda; Oegopsida; Pyroteuthidae. The record is from RNAcentral.
AUUUAAUUUGGCUUUGGUUAUUAUAUAGGUUGUUAUUAAGUAUAUACAUGUUAGAUUUAAUAUAAAUCGUUUUACUUAAAUGUUUGAUAUUUUUUAAUUUAAUAUUUUAAAAAUAUUAAAUUAAUUUAUUAAUAAAUUAUUAUUAUAAAUAAUUUUAAGUUACACAGUAUUUAUAUUUAUACAAUGAAUGGAAGUUUGAUAUAGUUAAUAUAUUUAAAGGUGGAUAAAUUGGUGCCAGCAUCUGCGGUUAUACCAAUUACCUUAAGUUUAUAUUUAUAUAGUAUAAAAUAAAGUACUUUAAUGGAAAAUAGAAUAAAUGAGAAUAAUAAUUAUAGGUAAAAUUUAAAUUAUUUUUAUUAAUUAAAUUAUUCUAAUUAAUAUUCUUUGAAAAUAAGGUUAAUAGACUAGGAUUAGAGACCCUAUUAUUCUUUAUAUUAAAAAAUUUUACACUUAAGUAGUAUAGAUAUAAAAUAUUAUAUUUAAUUUUAAUAAUAUCUGAAAUUUAAAAGGCUUGGCGGUGUUAUAUAUCCUUCCAGGGGAGUUUGCUUAUUAAUUUGAUAAUCCUCAAUUUAUACUUACUUUUUUUUGAAUAAAACAGUUUGUAUAUUGCUGUCGUCAGUUUAUUUUGUAAAAAUUUUGUAAAAAACUUAAUAAUUUUUAGGUUAUUAUGUCAAGUCAAAAUGCAGCUAAUAAAAAAGGUUUAAAGUGAACUACAAUUUAUAAUUUUUAAUCGGAUUAAUUUAUGUAAUUAGUUUAUGAAGUUGGACUUGGUAGUAAUAAAAAUUAUUUUAAAUAGUGAGUUUUUAUGAAUUAGGUUUUAUGAUGCGUACAUAUCGCCCGUCGCUCUUGUUGGGAAAUAAGAUAAGUCGUAACAUAGUAGGGGUAGUGGAAGCUGUUCCUGGUUGAAU